RNA transcript from Pseudopipra pipra, 7144 nucleotides. It is a transcript of the gene named tryptophan hydroxylase 2, with no coding region annotated. Lineage: Eukaryota; Metazoa; Chordata; Aves; Passeriformes; Pipridae. The record is from RefSeq and is a predicted model, not a curated record. The transcript has 10 exons.
GGGCGCUGCAGCCGCGCCGGGCAUCGGUGUGAGGGGAAAGGAAGGCACCGCCCAGGGCAGACCGGGGGGCGGGCGGGAGCAGCCGCUCCGCAGCGGGACCUCCGUGGCUGCUGUGGGCACAGCUUCCCCCGGGGGCUCCCGCCGGCGUGGGGCGGCGGGGCCGGGCAGCGCCCGGGGCGGCUUCGCCUCCCGCGCUGUGCUGUCCCGUCCCGUCCCGGCAGCGGAGGUAAGCGGGGACCGUGGGCGUCCGCCUGCCAGCGGCUCUCGUCACCCGGAGACGGGUGUCCCCUAAUCGUGUUUCCAUCAGCCGCGGCGGGGGCGUAUAAAAGGAGCGGCCGCGGGCGAGGCGGGCAGAGCGCGGCGCUGCCCCCGUCCCGCCCGCCGGCCCCAUGCAGCCCGCCAUGAUGAUGUUCUCCAGUAAGUACUGGGCGCGGAGGGGCUUCUCGCUGGACUCGGCGCUGCCGGAGGAGCGCCCCGCCGCCGGCAGCCUCACCCUAAACAGAUCGAGUUCUGGGAAAAAUGAGGAAAAGAAAGGGAAUAAGGGAAAUGGGAAAAAUGAAUCUGUUUCUGAAGGUGGAAAGACAGCUGUGGUGUUUUCCCUGAAGAAUGAAGUUGGUGGAUUGGUGAAAGCUCUCCGACUCUUCCAGGAAAAACAUGUGAGUAUGGUUCAUAUUGAAUCACGAAAAUCAAAGAGAAGGAAUUCAGAGGUGGAAAUUUUUGUGGACUGUGACUGCAGUAAAAAAGAAUUUAAUGAACUAAUCCAGUUGCUCAAGUUUCAAACUAAUAUCGUAUCUCUCAAUCCACCAGAAAACAUCUGGACUGACGAAGAAGAUCUCGACUGUGUCCCUUGGUUCCCCAGGAAGAUAUCUGAAUUGGACAAAUGCUCCCAGAGAGUUUUGAUGUAUGGAUCUGAGCUGGAUGCAGAUCACCCUGGAUUUAAAGACAAUGUCUAUCGACAGAGAAGAAAGUACUUUGUGGAUCUUGCCAUGAGCUAUAAAUAUGGUCAGCCCAUUCCUAGAGUGGAGUACACAGCUGAAGAAGUUAAAACGUGGGGGGUGGUAUUUAGGGAACUCAGUAAACUCUAUCCCACCCAUGCCUGUCGUGAAUAUUUAAAAAACUUUCCUCUGCUGACCAAGUACUGUGGAUACAGAGAGGAUAAUGUGCCUCAAUUGGAAGAUGUUUCUAUUUUUCUUAAAGAAAGGUCUGGCUUCACAGUGAGACCAGUUGCUGGAUACCUGUCUCCCCGGGAUUUUUUAGCUGGCUUAGCAUAUAGAGUUUUUCACUGUACUCAGUAUAUACGACAUGGCUCAGAUCCUCUCUACACACCGGAACCGGAUACGUGCCAUGAACUCUUGGGACAUGUGCCUCUACUUGCUGAUCCCAAGUUUGCACAGUUUUCGCAAGAGAUAGGACUUGCUUCACUGGGAGCAUCCGAUGAAGAUGUCCAGAAAUUAGCCACGAUGUUGCUGAAGUUGUCAAGGUCAACAGAACAUCAACAUGGUGCCCUUUCAGGCACACUUCGAAUAACCCCUCCACUUUCUCAUUCUGUUUGUUAGGUUGCUUUUGCAUCAGACAAAGCAUCAGUUUAGACUGUGUAACCUUGUUUCAGUUGUUAGCUGUAAGUUUUAUAUAUUCUGUAACUUACAGAGAACUUUCUAUAGAUCAUCACUAUGACAUUCAUAAAGAUGGCAUCUGCUCAUAGUGCUAGAUAAAGCAGUUUGAGCUCAGAACUUUUUCAAGACAUGCUGGAAAGAAUGGGCACUCACAUAUUACAAUUUUUUCCCCCAUAAAACAUACUACUCUUUUUUCUCUGAAGAUUUUUCUUCCCUCCCUUGAAUCAGUAGGCUGUAAUUGUAAUAAUUAUAUAGUUUGACUACAUAAAAGUGGCUAAGAUUAUAGUUUAACAAGACAUUUUACAUUUCUAGAAUGUAAACACCUUUGUAGGAUUAAUUUUUUGACUUUGAGUAAGCAUAUUAGCUUAUGUACAGAUCCAUACUAUACAUCUGCAAUGAAUUUAGGACCUAUACAAGCACAGAAUUCUUGCUGAUCACUAGUGACCAUUUCAGAGUGAUCUUCACAUUUGGUAUGUUAUUCCUGGACCACAGCCACUGGAAAUUCCUGUGACUUCGGUACAGUGAAGAACUGUGAUCUCUGCUCACAGGUACUUGCUGAGUAUAACUUUUUUCCAUGUAUUGCUGAAUGUGAUUCACUUUGAAUUUACACACUUUUGGCAGGUAACUCGGUGGUGACUCAGUUGACUAUUCUGUGGUUAUGAUAGAUUCAUUUCACAUGUCCUAACUGCUGAAAAUCAGGGUGCUGCAAGGAGAUGCUCAACUGCACUUGAGAAAGAUUUUGUUUGGGGCUGUGAAAAACAUGUUCAAUUUGAAUAUAUUUUUAGUAGCAAAAUUAAUAGAUAUUUAAAAUUCCCAGAGCUACUUUUCUUCUUUGAUCUGUCUGUCAGCUUGACAUGAAUAGAACUAACACUUUUGUACUUAUGCCUGCUAUCUUUUUUUUGCUUCCUUUUUGCAAAGCAGGUUGAGCUAAUGCAUUAAGAGUCACAAAAGCUUUUGGGAGUCCCUUGGCAUUUAUGUGAUUAAAAGAACAUUGAGUUUAAAUGCAGUGUUGCUGUUAGAAACUGUGAUGUUUGAAAACAAGUCUUAGCUAUUAAAUCAGUUUUCAGUAAAUAGAUGGAAGAACUUAAUUUUCUUUUAAAAUAUUUAGAAAAUAAGUGUGGAUGCUGGUAAUUUUGGAAUGAAGUCCUAUCCUUUUUUUCUCUUCAGAAAUAAAUUUGAAAUUGAUAUGACUGUGAAGAAAUAGUGCGUUUUUUCUCCUUGAAAUAAGAAUUCUGAAACUUCACUGGCCAGUUGUUCUUGUCUCUUCAAUGUGUUUUUUGCCCGCACAGGUUCAGGGCUUGCAAAAGUUCUGAGAUCCUUUCAGCCCCAGGAGACUUCUCCCCUUUCUGAAGAUAUGACUUUCUCUCAUUGGUGGGUACAUUAGGACUUUUAGAGCUGAUCGUGUAUACAAGAACCUCAUAGUCCUCCUUGGCUAAAAUGUUGUGGGAGGCUCAGUGGCUCUCCUGCAUCACUCCCUGCAGUGCAAGUGUCAUCUACAGUAACUGGCCUGUCAGUUAGAGGAGGCACAACCUGCUCCAGGGAAUGGCAUUGUGGGAAGCACUGCAUGAACCUGGUGCCUUCCCCAUGGGAAUUCCGGUAAAGGAGGACACUGGGGUCUUUCUCUGUACUGGCCAAGGGUGGUUACUAAAGAGGCCUUGUAUCUUGCAGUAAUCAGUUCUGACAGUGGACUGGCACAGGGCAGUGAUUCAGUAAACUCCCUGCUUAUAAAAUGAGGAUUGCCUGUACUGUGAUUAAUUGCUGCACCUUUGCUUCUUGAUAAGCUGUGGAUUUACUUUACCAUUCUGUCAAAAGCUUGUCCCAGGAUAAGUGGAAGAGAAUCCUGUGUCAGUUUUCCCCUUACUCGGUUUCCUUGUGGCAUUGCCAGUUUUCCCCAUAAGCUUUCCUUCUGGCAUUGCAGCUUGUUCAAAAGAAUGAACUCUGCAUCCCUAGUCUGAAGAUGUUUUCUUGGUAUUUCAUGGAGUGUUGCAACUUUAUACCUUCUCUUCUGAGUGUCCUUCUUAGCGUGCUUGCUGGGGAGUAGAAGUUGGUCUUUUUAGAGAAGGACAAACUAUGUUGGACCAGUGCUGAAGUCUACAGGUAACUGUGAUAAAUGGAUCCUGACGACUGGGCUAGGCUUCUGUAGAGAUUCUGGCUCUGGAUGCUGUAGGAAGAAAAGUGAGUUUGUUCCUGUCUGUUCUCUGAGUGUUUUCCUAAGCAAUGCAAUUCAGUUUGGGGCAACAUUCCUAGUGUCAGUGACCCAUAAAACGAGCAUGCUGUCAGGCAAAGGACAGACAAAUGAUCUCUUGUGUGUUUAUUUGUUUCGAAUUUUGCUCUCGCUUUGGUCAUACCUCCAUGUCCACACGUCAAUGUUCAAGUUCCCGGCCCAUGCUGGAGGAGUCAUACUCUCCAAGCUGUAGCAUAAGUUAUGAGGCUGAGGAGAACACUUACGAGGUGCCAGCCCUUGUCCCUGUAGCCUAUAAAAUCAGGACUGUUCUUGCUUUGAUAGGUUGUGUUUAUGCCAAUUCCUCGCUUGUAAGAGUAGCAGGACAAAGAUCUGGAAAACAGGAAUGGCAAAGCUGUAAAGACAAUGCCUGCUUGCAGCCUGUGAAUUGUGAAGGAUUGUAACAAACUAAGUGUGUCACAUAAGCAGCGCAGACUGAAGACUGUGGUUGGACAGCAGUGACGUGUGUUUACUCAACUUUUUUUUUUUUUUUUAAUGGUUUGACUUUCAGAGGACCCCAUCUCUUGGAGUCUCAACUAUCAUGUCAAAAGACCUCACUAUCCCCGUUACAAUACCUGUGUGAAAUCUCUGCAUGGCUGAAAUUUGAAGCAACAGCUUGAAAAAGAAAUGAGCAAAUACUCACUUAGCUAAAAUGUAGGGAGUGCUGAAUGUGAAUUCAUGUUAUCUGUAGUAAAAUAAAGUGGAAUGGGUUAUUAUUGCAUAUCAUUUUUUCUUCGUAACUCCACUUGAAAUUAAUAAACCUUAAACCCCUAGGUUUUAGAAGUUGAAGUUGUUCAAGAUAAGAGUCAAAUGAGAUAGAGAAGGGGAAAUAGGAAGGGCAAAGCAUUAGGGCUUCAUGUUUAACAAAGCAUUAGGCCUUAUGUUUAACAAAUGACCUAAGCAGCAGUUUACAGUUUAAGUGGUCUUGUCUGCUUAGCUGCAUAUUAAGCUUCAGCACUAUUAGUUAUGUUGGAAAAGCUAGAAGUUCUUUCUCUGGCCAUGUUGAGCAAGUUGAGGCAAGUGUGCUUUUUGGGGCAUUCAUUUUUUGCACCACCUCUGUGACAGCUAGCUUUGCUGGAAAGGAAUUUGCUGCCUUGCCAGGAAACACAGCUUUUUGUACAGAAAGACUUUCUGUGUAAGUGUUGAAGUUCCUGAUUCUGCACCUCCAAAGGUUUCCAAGGUUUUCAACUGAGAUAAAAUGAGAAGGCUGGACAGACAUCAUCUUUGUGCAGAGCAAACCUAAAUUCAGAUUAUUUUGAAGUAAUUCAAACAUGGAGUGAGAUAUCCAGUGGCUUCAGCUGUGUGGGAUGUAACUUUUUGGAACAGCAGAAAAAUCCCAAAAAUGCUUCAUUCCUCUGCUCUCUCUGCUUGCUCUUCAGAGUAGCAGGAGGGCCUCCUUCAUGCGAGAAUGAACAAUAGAAAGACACAUUCUCUCAGGAGACACAAUAUGGUUAGUAGGGCUGUCCUCCGGAUCUUAUUUCAGAAGUUGUAUUGCACCUGCAAGGUUGGCAGCUGCCAUAGACAUUGUCUUGUUUUGUCUGGACUCCCCAGUGUUGGAGGUAUAGAGUUACCUCCUUACUGAUACUGUUGUAGCAUUGUGUUGCUUGAGGUACACUUUUGCUUCCUUACAAACUCAUGAUGAUAAUUUUAUUUGGUUUACCAUUAUGAGUUUUUCUCCAGUAACUCCUGAAUAAAGAAACAUAAUUUCAAAGUAUUCACAAGGGCUUGAGUCCCCUUGUGCUCACUGUAGGCCGUGCUUUCUCUGAGUAUGUCAAGCCCCUGCAUUAGAGGAAUUUGCAUGUGGUGAUGCUGAGUUCUGUGGCUGUCAACAGAAAUGUGAAGGCCGGUGUGUAUCUAUACCCCAGUGCUCUAAUGAGCAGCACCACAUCUACCCAAAUGUCUGUUUAUAAAGAGAUUGUUCCGAGCAUUCACCCUUAGUGAAAGGUCUGAAUGCAAAGCAGUCAGAUGAGGGAAAAAGGAUAAUAUUGUUAAAUAUAUUCACUUUGAAAUCCCCAAAGGAAACCUCAUUUCACUAAGCCUAAAUGCAUUUCAAAGUGGCAGACUAAACAAAAUAGUUUAAGAAGGUAACUCUGAAAAAAUUAAACUUUGUUUUCUUAUUUAGAAAUGCUGUUGGCUGUGAAUAGGGUCACUGCCUUUGUUGGAGGUAGGCGAAUUGUCUAUAAUGAGACUUAGCUAUUGAAUUUUACUUCUUUUCUGCUUUUGAUCUAUUCACAAACUCAUCAUAAGAUUUAUUUGUUGUUCAAAAAUCUCCCUGCAUUUCUACUCAGUAAUGUUCCUGCAUGAAUAGCUGUCAAAUAGCCAGUAUUGCUUGAUGCCCGGACUCUAACACUGUGCUGUAUUGGCUAGUUGCCUGGGUUACCUGUGUUACAUCUAUCUGUUUCUUGUAGUGGAGCACUCCUGAUACUACUCAACAGACUGUGAAUUUUGAAUAAUUCAGUCAAAUGUGAAAUGCCAGCUGGUUUUUUUUUUUUUGGAGACUAUUGAUGUCUUUGAAAAAUAAGCAACUAUUCAAAAAUUUAUUUGCACUAGCUCUGAAUGAAGAAAGAAAGCACAGAUGAGAGUCACAGAUAUUUCUGAGUCAACAGUUGGUUGCAAUUUGAGCAACUUUUACAGGGGGAAAGAAAACACCUUUAUUUCAUUAAUCCUUAGGAUUAAUUUCUAAUAAUUGGAGUUAGAAAAAGUCUUUCAGCUAUAUAUAACUAUUUACUUAUGAGAUAAUUACAACUAUAUGAAAGAUUUUAUCUCUAUGUGAAUGUUUUUAGAGCUAAAAUAUCAAAGGACUCCUAAAGAAAAAGGAAUUAAUCUUGGCAUAUUGUGAACAUAUCACAUGCAUUUGAAUUGAGUGGUCUAUUCAAAUAUCUUUUGAAAUCUUAAAUCCAGUAGAAACAAUGUAAAGAUGUUUUCUUAAGGAUAUUUAUUUGGCACUGGUCUUGCAAGUACUUACAUACAUUAGUAAUUGUAUUGUCUUCAUGGCAGUCAUUUUCUAUAUGUAUAAUGUGAUUGUGCUACUUCAUGUCAGCUUGGGGUUGUAGCCCUUUGCCACUGGCAGUUCCUGUAGUGGUGAUUCUUCUUGCCCAUGUGCCAGGGUUGCAGUCAUGCAAUUACUGAAUCUCUCAUUCUUCCCCCCUCAUGACAGGGAGCACAAACAAAUCGGUGCUUGACGUGGUGUUCUCAGGACUCAUCCUGACAACAUUUUUAUAAGUGCUAUUUUUUUACGAUUGAAUUUGGCCUUUGCAAGCAAGAAGGACAACUACGUGCUUAUGGGGCAGGACUUCUGUCUUCUAUUGGA